CUUGAACGCUGGCGGCAGGCCUAACACAUGCAAGUCGAGCGGAUGAAGGGAGCUUGCUCCUGGAUUCAGCGGCGGACGGGUGAGUAAUGCCUAGGAAUCUGCCUGGUAGUGGGGGAUAACGUCCGGAAACGGGCGCUAAUACCGCAUACGUCCUGAGGGAGAAAGUGGGGGAUCUUCGGACCUCACGCUAUCAGAUGAGCCUAGGUCGGAUUAGCUAGUUGGUGGGGUAAAGGCCUACCAAGGCGACGAUCCGUAACUGGUCUGAGAGGAUGAUCAGUCACACUGGAACUGAGACACGGUCCAGACUCCUACGGGAGGCAGCAGUGGGGAAUAUUGGACAAUGGGCGAAAGCCUGAUCCAGCCAUGCCGCGUGUGUGAAGAGGGUCUUCGGAUUGUAAAGCACUUUAAGUUGGGAGGAAGGGCAGUAAGUUAAUACCUUGCUGUUUUGACGUUACCAACAGAAUAAGCACCGGCUAACUUCGUG
Molecule: ribosomal RNA, 484 nt
Filed under: uncultured bacterium
Lineage: Bacteria
Description: partial 16S ribosomal RNA
Rfam family: Bacterial small subunit ribosomal RNA
Source: RNAcentral